UGCCUCCAUCUUUAUUCUCGUUCUUAACUCUGAACUUGCCCUCUCUCUGUCUCUGCGACUGCAAACUACAAACUCUACAAGAAUCAAAUCAGCCUCCCAAAUCGCCUCCAUCUCUAUUAUCGUUCUCAACUCUAAACUUGCCCUCUCUCUGUCUCUGCAACUACAAACUACAAAAUCUAUAAGAAUCAGAAUUUCAAAACCCAUAUACUUCAGUUUAUCUAUCUGUCUGCUAGAAUCAAAAGUUCAAAACCUAUUACCUAUAUCGAAACCCAUAUUUCAGAUUGUUCAAAAAAAUCAAAACCCAUAUCUUUCAGUUUCCAUCGCCCGCGUUACCAGCUUGCCCCAAUGAAUACACAAGUAUGACACCAGUUUUAUCAAAGGAAUACGCAGAUGAUGUUCGCCCUCUCAUGGCCUUAAUGGACACAAACCCUUUGUUCUGGAGUGCAGCAACCAACACUCUUCUCCAAGUUCCUCUCUCUCUCUCGUAACUUUUCUAUAAACCCUAACUUUCUCUCUCUAAAACUAAUAUCCCCUAAUUCACCAACGACUCUCAUAUUCACGAAUUCACACAGGUCCUUUCAUUCUUGAACUCCAUUCUACUUUUCAACCAAGUCAAUCAAGUUGUCGUAAUCGCCACGGGCUUCAAUUCGUACAAGUACGUCUAUGAUUCGUCUUCAAAUGAGGUUGCACAUAAUCAGAGGGCGGAGAGUUUGUUACAGAGGUUGGAGGAGUUUGUGAUUGAGGAUGAAAAGCUGAGAAAGGACGAGUCAGUUGAUGGGAUUGGAGCUUCACUGUUAUCAGGGUCUUUGUCGAUGGCCCUUUGUUGUAUCCUUAUAAUUGAAUGCUCAUACAUUCAUUGCUUAUAUAUGUAUAUAUAUAUUGUAAUUUAUAUAAAGCUGUUUUGGAUUAAUCAUUUUUCCUCUUAACAUUGUUCUGUUUGAUUGAUUUAUUGCCAAAGGGCUGGAGAUUUUAUUAUCCUAUUAAAGGUUUAAUUUUUUAUUUUUUCUAAUAAUUGUUGUGGUGGACAGUUGCGACUUGUAAGAUUGGUUUCACAUUUUUUCUUCUUCUUUAUUAUACUCCUUUAGAUGUAAUUUCUGGAUUUUAAUUACAUCUUUUUGUUGUAAUGCUUAGUGCCAUUGUAUAGUUCUGUUGAAAUUGAGGGUUAAAUUCUCCCAGAAGUCCACAAGCACUCAGAUGUGGCAUGAUGCUAAUGCUAAUUGCUGAAAAAUUCUGUGUAUAUAUGUAGAUGAUCUACACCCUAAAUACAUAUUUAUGACUAUUAAUUUAUCAAUAUAACAAAUAGUUGUUGGUAAUGCUGGUCUAAAAUAAUAGUAUAUGAGUUUUUAAUAAAAAAAUUUAUUUGGUUUCUUGUUCAAUGUCUUUAAAAUAAAGUUUUUACUAACUAUAAGUCUGAGCUGUUUGAUAAAAUGCCUUAAUCUAAUUAAAGAAUUUCAGUUAUAGCAAAUUCCAUAUAAUAGCAUUAGAUCGUGAUUUGGAUCGGGUGUUGAAAUUUUUUUUUCCCUUCAUUUGCUGGGUGGGAAGGGAAGGGGAGAGUGUUCCGUGAAAUGAAGGCAGGAACAAAAACUCUUGCAUUUGGCUUUAUUUGUUUCAUAUUGGCAGUUAGGUGUUCAUUUUACCUUUUGAAAGCAAGCUUCUGUUAUUUCUUUCUUCUAUUACUUUUAUUCUUCUUAGUAAUUGCAAUUUUGUUGAGUUUUUUUUUUUUUUUUUUGCCUUCAUAUUUGGUUAUAUAUUGAUGUUAACUAUUCACUGCUCUUGGUUUCAGAUUACUGUCAAAAUCAGCUGCGAUAUAGAUCAACACAUUUUCUGACUUUUUAAGUAACAAUAGUCUGUCCAAAAUCUUGGUGAAAAGCGAAAAGUCAGAUAAUGUGCGGAUGUUAAAUGUUCUGCAAUAAAAAAAAACUAGUAAAAUUUUCAUUGAGGAUUCUCUAAUGGUUUUUUUAUAAUUAUUUUUCUUUAUUUUAUAUAUAUGUGCUGAUCGUUUAAUGGUUGAAUAAUGUAAAUUUUUUUGUUCUCUGUUAAGCCCAGCUGAGCUUUUGGAUUCACCUGUUCUCCUCUCCAUUUAUAACGAUGUCAAAGUGAAAUGGCUGCUGAUCAGAAUCCGAGCGAGUAUAUAAUGCUAACAACCAGUCCUCUCCCAUUGCUUCACAUUAAGUCUCACCUUCUGAAGAUUUGGUCGGCAAGUCUUGUGAGCUAUUGCAUUUUCAUAGGACAAAAUCAGUUGUCGCCAAGUGUGUGAUUGAUUCAAUGGAUCCAGAUUCUCUCAUAGGUUCUGCUCCACUUGAUUCUGACUAUUGGAGAGUGUGGAUCACUGACCUCAUUGAUUCCAGUGUACCCUUAUAUAGGCCUGAAAUUCGUGGCUUUGAUUUGAAAGACGCAUAUGUUACAAGAUUUUCAAUUGCAUGGACUAUCAAGUACAUCAAAAUUUGUAAGUGACGCAUUUCUUUUAUGAUUGCACAUUUUUAAUGCUUUUUAUACUCUGCUCAGGGGGGUCACGUGCCUUUAAGUGACCAAUU
Long non-coding RNA from Cornus florida, 2534 nucleotides. RefSeq lists it as uncharacterized. The record is from RefSeq and is a predicted model, not a curated record. The transcript is spliced from 4 exons. NCBI's taxonomy places the organism in Eukaryota, Viridiplantae, Streptophyta, Magnoliopsida, Cornales, Cornaceae.